Long non-coding RNA from Helianthus annuus (common sunflower), 747 nucleotides. RefSeq lists it as uncharacterized. The transcript has 2 exons. The record is from RefSeq and is a predicted model, not a curated record. NCBI's taxonomy places the organism in Eukaryota, Viridiplantae, Streptophyta, Magnoliopsida, Asterales, Asteraceae.
UUGAACUUUCUCUCUCUCUCUAUAUACAAACAGCAACCACAACCCAGCAACAACCACCAUCACCAGAUCUGUAGCCUGCCACCAACAACCUGCCACCACCCACCAAAAUUGCGGCUGAAGUUUAUAUUGCACCUGGACUCAUUAAAAACACACAUGCUGUAGCAAGUAGCAAUCAUAUACAGACCAAAUCGACUUAUACCCAUUCCAUUCCCCCAACUUGAUUCAAUUCAGUUAUAUAUAUACACACACAAUCUUUUUGAAAUUACAGUUCCUCCUUGUUAUUUUCAGAUCUCAAACCCCAUCUUUUCUCAGUCAAGAUUCAUCUCAAAACACUCGAUUCAGACAAUAAUAUUCUGUUAAUCAGGAAGAGAGCGGUGGUGAUAGUUGGCGGCAGAUGGUGUGGUUGAUGGUGGGGCAGCAGUGGUGGUGGUUGUUUUACUGAUGGUGGUGGUUGACGGCGGGGCGACGAUGGUGGUCGUAACCGGCGGUGAUGGUGGUUGUUUUAAUUCAGAGACAUUUUAAAUAAAAACGUGAAAUGACUAAAAUACCCUUAAGUGAAUAGACUCAACUUAAAUUUUUAACCUGGUUAGUGCUAAAGGACGAAAGAUGUACUGAGUUUUAUUAUAAAGGAUUGUGACUGUAAUUAUUGAAAUUAAAAGUUAUCCAUUGCAACCCGCUACAAACAUAAAAGACGAAAAGUGUAAUUUACCCUUUGAUUUAAUACAGUUUGGAUAAGAUUUAAAUUUA